This 501-nucleotide ribosomal RNA is filed under the name uncultured bacterium. RNAcentral's name for it is "partial 16S ribosomal RNA". It matches the Rfam family "Bacterial small subunit ribosomal RNA", at positions 30 to 523 of the family's 1533-position model. The record is from RNAcentral.
AUUGAACGCUGGCGGCAGGCUUAACACAUGCAAGUCGAGCGGGGGAAGGUAGCUUGCUACCGGACCUAGCGGCGGACGGGUGAGUAAUGCUUAGGAAUCUGCCUAUUAGUGGGGGACAACAUCUCGAAAGGGAUGCUAAUACCGCAUACGUCCUACGGGAGAACGCAGGGGAUCUUCGGAACUUGCGCUAAUAGCUGAGCCUAAGUCGGAUUAGCUAGCUGGUGGGGUAAAGGCCUACCAAGGCGACGAUCUGUAGCGGGUCUGAGAGGAUGAUCCGCCACACUGGGACUGAGACACGGCCCAGACUCCUACGGGAGGCAGCAGUGGGGAAUAUUGGACAAUGGGGGGAACCCUGAUCCAGCCAUGCCGCGUGUGUGAAGAAGGCCUUAUGGUUGUAAAGCACUUUAAGCGAGGAGGAGGCUACUCUAGUUAAUACCUAGGGAUAGUGGACGUUACUCGCAGAAUAAGCACCGGCUAACUCUGUGCCAGCCGCCGCCGUAA